RNAcentral lists this ribosomal RNA (468 nucleotides) under uncultured bacterium. RNAcentral describes it as "partial 16S ribosomal RNA". It matches the Rfam family "Bacterial small subunit ribosomal RNA", at positions 28 to 507 of the family's 1533-position model. The record is from RNAcentral.
GACGAACGCUGGCGGCGUGCUUAACACAUGCAAGUCGAACGGAAAGGCCCAGCUUUUGUGGGGUGCUCGAGUGGCGAACGGGUGAGUAGCACGUGAGUAACCUGCCCUUGACUUUGGGAUAACUUCAGGAAACUGGGGCUAAUACCGGAUAGGAGCUCCUGCUGCAUGGUGGGGGUUGGAAAGUUUCGGCGGUUGGGGAUGGACUCGCGGCUUAUCAGCUUGUUGGUGGGGUAGUGGCUUACCAAGGCUUUGACGGGUAGCCGGCCUGAGAGGGUGACCGGCCACAUUGGGACUGAGAUACGGCCCAGACUCCUACGGGAGGCAGCAGUGGGGAAUAUUGCACAAUGGGCGGAAGCCUGAUGCAGCAACGCCGCGUGCGGGAUGACGGCCUUCGGGUUGUAAACCGCUUUCGCCUGUGACGAAGCGUGAGUGACGGUAAUGGGUAAAGAAGCACCGGCUAACUACGUG